RNAcentral lists this unclassified non-coding RNA (150 nucleotides) under uncultured Preussia. RNAcentral describes it as "sequence contains ITS2". Lineage: Eukaryota; Fungi; Ascomycota; Dothideomycetes; Pleosporales; Sporormiaceae. The record is from RNAcentral.
AAACCUUCAAGCUCAGCUUGGUGAUGGGUGACUGUCCUCCCCUCGCGGGGGGACUCGCCUCAAAAACAUUGGCGGCCGGUACAUUGGCUUCGAGCGCAGCAGAAACGCGGUCUCGAGUCCGAUGGACUGGCUCCCAUAAGCCUUCUUUUA